AUCUUGUUCAGCACUCACUGCUGGGUGGAACCUUUCUGCCUCCCUUUGGUUCCCUGGGGAAUGUUUUGAUCAGCAGGAUUACAAGACCACUCCUUCUUCCUGUCUUAGAAAGAAAGCCUUUUCCUGUAUCUCAGAUGCCACAUGUUAGCUGUCUGCAUAGGAUUUCAUGGAAGAUGUCUGCAGAAAAUCCCUAAAGCUUAAAGUUUGUACCCCCCUUGGCAAGUGGAUCGAGUUUUCACGGUGCUAUGGUGCUAUGGUGCUUACGAUAUUCAUUUUUACGGUGCUUAAGGAGAUAAAGAAAAUAAUAUUCAACCCUGCUGCGCACCUUUGUUCCGAAAGAAUAAAACUACUGCACCCGUCA
This is a long non-coding RNA of Rana temporaria (common frog), 361 nucleotides long. RefSeq lists it as uncharacterized. The record is from RefSeq and is a predicted model, not a curated record. The transcript has 2 exons. Lineage: Eukaryota; Metazoa; Chordata; Amphibia; Anura; Ranidae.